UACAGAGGUCUCAAGCGUUGUUCGGAUUCAUUGGGCGUAAAGGGUGCGUAGGCGGCGUGGUAAGUCGGAUGUGAAAUCUCGGAGCUUAACUCCGAAACUGCAUUCGAUACUGCCGUGCUUGAGGACUGGAGAGGAGACUGGAAUUUACGGUGUAGCGGUGAAAUGCGUAGAUAUCGUAAGGAAGACCAGUGGCGAAGGCGGGUCUCUGGACAGUUCCUGACGCUGAGGCACGAAGGCCAGGGGAGCAAACGGG
Molecule: ribosomal RNA, 253 nt
Filed under: uncultured bacterium
Lineage: Bacteria
Description: partial 16S ribosomal RNA
Rfam family: Bacterial small subunit ribosomal RNA
Source: RNAcentral